Molecule: unclassified non-coding RNA, 351 nt
Filed under: soil metagenome
Description: partial contains 5.8S ribosomal RNA, internal transcribed spacer 2, and large subunit ribosomal RNA
Rfam family: 5.8S ribosomal RNA (bases 4-119)
Source: RNAcentral
GAUAAGAACGCAGCGAAAUGCGAUAAGUAAUGUGAAUUGCAGAAUUCAGUGAAUCAUCGAAUCUUUGAACGCACAUUGCGCCCGCCAGUAUUCUGGCGGGCAUGCCUGUUCGAGCGUCAUUACAACCCUCAGGCCCCCGGGCCUGGCGUUGGGGAUCGGCGGAGCCCCCCGUGGGCACACGCCGUCCCCCAAAUGCAGUGGCGGUCCCGCCGCAGCUUCCAUCGCGUAGUAGCUAACACCUCGCGACUGGAGAGCGGCGCGGCCACGCCGUAAAACACCCAACUCUUCUGAAGUUGACCUCGAAUCAGGUAGGAAUACCCGCUGAACUUAAGCAUAUCAAUAAGCGGAGGA